RNAcentral lists this ribosomal RNA (253 nucleotides) under uncultured bacterium. RNAcentral's name for it is "partial 16S ribosomal RNA". It matches the Rfam family "Bacterial small subunit ribosomal RNA", at positions 524 to 776 of the family's 1533-position model. The record is from RNAcentral.
UACGUAGGGCGCGAGCGUUAUCCGGAAUUAUUGGGCGUAAAGAGCUCGUAGGCGGUUUGUCACGUCUGCUGUGAAAACUGGAGGCUCAACCUCCAGCCUGCAGUGGGUACGGGCAGACUAGAGUGCGGUAGGGGAGAUUGGAAUUCCUGGUGUAGCGGUGGAAUGCGCAGAUAUCAGGAGGAACACCGGUGGCGAAGGCGGGUCUCUGGUCUGUAACUGACGCUGAGGCGCGAAAGCGUGGGGAGCAAACAGG